CCGGGCUAGAAUUAUUUUCAGUAUGAUUUGGGUUAAUGAGUUGACUCGGGAAUGAACUCGGAGGUUUCAUAUGAAAUAAACAAAAUAGAUGAAACGAAAACAGCAAAUCAAGCAGAAUCAUCAGGUGACGGGGCAGGCAGAUUUGCGGCGGAUUACUGGGUGAGAAGAUCCAGAAUUUGCCGUCUCAUGGCAAUGGCGUAGAGGGAUCAAAGAAAGCAGAAAAUUUCAAACCAUUUUGACCCACCAUCAUCAAGCUUAAAACGAAGGCAGUGGUCAACUUCUAAAACAUGAAAUGAGGUUCUGGAAAAAGUUUCCAGCUAGGGUAACCCAAUUGAGAGGCGGGGGCAAUGGAUACUUGAUCGAGUGAUUUGGGGAAAAGGAAUCAUUCUCCAGGGAAUUGGAGCCGUGUGCAUAGAGAUGCUCAAGGCUCAGUGGAAGCUCUUCCCCUUCUAUACUCUUGUCUGCUUGGCCAACUUCCCAAAUCAAGCGAAUUCCACAUGAUUGUAGCUUUGCGGAUGGAGACUUCAACUCCUCUGAGAAUUGCAAAUCGGAUUUGAUGCCUAACUUGUUGAUUUGGUUGCUGAAGUUUUUUAACCCGCGGAUGAUAAGCAGGUGAUCUGAUUUAACAACUUCUUCCUCAUCUUCAGUGCUAGGGUCAGUACUAUGGAAAUCUGGUUUAAGGUAUAAACAAAAGUACCUUUCAUAUCCCCAAUCCCAGUCAUAAGAAAAUGGCGAGAAUUGUAUAUCAAAGGGCCUCUCGCAAGCAAUCACGACACAUGCAUCAAAACCCAGCAAUUUCGGGGACGGCCAAAUUUGGGGUAAGUCAAUCGUUAGGGACUUUCCUUUAUCUAUAUGAUCAAAGUAACUGGGCACCUCGGUUCCAGGAAAGAAAGCGAAUCCCAGUGACUCCUAUUCGAGGACAACAACGAAAAGAAAAAAAGAUGGAGAAUGAUCAAGUUCAGGUUGUUUGCAGUGGAGUAAUGGAAGAAUAAGCUGGAAACAUACCUCUUCGUUUUCUCCCUCGUUGAGAAACUGAGCGAUCAGAUGUUCAUCCCGUUUUAAACCGAAACAAUGACUAAGAUCAAGGUGUUUUACAGAAUGGUUCAAAGGAAGGGAAACAGUUUCCAAGAUUUCACAGCCAUGGGCGUAGAGAGACUUGAGGCACAACGGAAGCCCUUCAAUCGAUUUGAGUUUCUUGCACUUAUUAAGGCAGAGAGUUCUCAAAGAGGAAAGCACUUCGAUGCUGGAUGGCAAUUUCUCAAAUUCAUGGCUGCUAAGAUCUAAAUAUGAUAGCUUGAUAAAAUGUCUAAGCUGAUCUAAAAUUGAUCGAAUGCUCUUGCAGCCAUCAACCCAAAGCUCAAGCCAUUGGAAUCUGCCACAGUCUUGUUCAGCAUAAGAAAGUUCCAACAAUGAUUGGAGGUUUAUACAGCCAGAGAGUUUGAUUGUCUCCAACUGAACCAGCGCUGGCAAUGCUUUGAGUCUGCAACAGUUACGAAAGCUGGCAUAUUUCAACCUGGGAAGUUGAUUCAUGGUUUCUGGGGAACAUCGAAAGGCUAAAACAGAGGAAACUUGCACCAUCACUGCUGUACCUGAACCUGCUGAUGUCUACUGAAGUAAAUCCAUGGAACUUGGAUGUGGGUUGAGAUUUUCCCUGUGCUUUCUUCACCGAUUCCUGACCAUGAAACUCUGGCAAGAACUGAAGUGCCUGCCGUGUCCUUGUAGAAAAUUCAAGAGCUUGUUGGUUAUCAGGCGCUAGCUGAUCCCUCUGCAUCAUCCAUUCAUGAUCAAGAAACUCUGAAGUGGCCUUAACUUUCCGUCCUUUCCUCAUAAGCGAUCCAAAACCACAUAAUAUUGUUUUUUUACGAGGUUCUUGUUGCUGCUCCCUCUUUGUCAAUUCACCAGGUGCUUGUUGCUUCUCUUUCUUUGUCAAUUUAUCAGGUCCUUGUUGCUCAGUAGUAAAACUGAGAUGAUCUACGUUGCCAUCAAGCCAAAACAUCUGAAUAUGUAUGUUUCCUCCAAUAGAUAGAUUUGCAAUGGACCUCGUUUCCACUUCUUUACCCGAGAAAUACAAAGCAAUUUGACGGCCGCUCCUAUUCAAUUCCCUUAUAGUGAUAUAACUAGCAAGCUCCUCACAGUAUGAGACAUCAAGCGUCGUCAAUCUAGUAAGGUAGCUGAUGGACUCUGGAAUUUUCUUCAGCCUCUUGCAGCCUUGAGUUAUCAAUUCCUCCAAAUUAACGGCCAUUGAAAGAUCUGGAAGUUGUUCCAGAUUUUCAGAAUCUGACAAGUCCAAUCUUCUCAAGUUUGGCAUCCCCUGAGCAUAUUCAACAAAGAAUAGGAAAAUUGCGAGAAUGUUAAGUACCAGAAGAUACAUUGUUAUAAGCAUAGAUCUGUUAAGAGCUUUUACCACGGUUUCUUUCCAGAAGCUUGUGAGAUUGCUGCGAUGUAGAAUGAUUUCAACAAGAUCUUGCGGCUGGAAUCGGCAAGGGAAGGUUGUCAAGGGAAAUGCGUCCCAAUGUAGUAACCUAAGCCUUGAUGAAAGUAGAUUUGUAUCGUCACCACUGAAAAGCAGCUUGGACUUAAUAUGGUUCGAGUGCUUGUAGAUCUUGAGGAAUUUGAGAGUAUCGUGGUACGCUGUAUACCCUCCCAGAUGCAAUGCAUAAACCAUGUCACACAUAUGUAGUGCCAUGCAAUUGGUUGGUUCGCUUGUCUGUGGGAUUAAAUACGAUAAAAUUAGUUGGCCUACGAACAAGCUUAGUGCAGAAACAACCAUGAACAACAACGAUGUUACAGAUAGACACUGUAAGUGCUUACCGUGUUACG
RNAcentral lists this long non-coding RNA (2820 nucleotides) under Arabidopsis thaliana (thale cress). RNAcentral describes it as "potential natural antisense gene, locus overlaps with AT1G72860 (AT1G72855)". Lineage: Eukaryota; Viridiplantae; Streptophyta; Magnoliopsida; Brassicales; Brassicaceae. The record is from RNAcentral.